This 461-nucleotide ribosomal RNA is filed under the name uncultured bacterium. RNAcentral's name for it is "bacterial SSU rRNA". It matches the Rfam family "Bacterial small subunit ribosomal RNA", at positions 1 to 507 of the family's 1533-position model. The record is from RNAcentral.
CGUCGAUACGAGUUUGAUCCUGGCUCAGAACGAACGCUGGCGGCAGGCCUAACACAUGCAAGUCGAGCGGGACCUUCGGGUCUAGCGGCGGACGGGUUAGUAACGCGUGGGAACGUGCCCAAAGGUACGGAUAGCCUCGGGAAACUGAGAGUAAUACCGUAUGUGCCCCUCGGGGGAAAGAUUUAUCGCCUUUGGAUCGGCCCGCGUUGGAUUAGGUAGUUGGUGGGGUAAUGGCCUACCAAGCCGACGAUCCAUAGCUGGUUUGAGAGGAUGAUCAGCAACACUGGGACUGAGACACGGCCCAGACUCCUACGGGAGGCAGCAGUGGGGAAUCUUAGACAAUGGGGGAAACCCUGAUCUAGCCAUGCCGCGUGAGCGAUGAAGGCCUUAGGGUUGUAAAGCUCUUUCAGAUGGGAAGAUAAUGACGGUACCAUCAGAAGAAGCCCCCGGCUAACUCCGUG